Molecule: long non-coding RNA, 612 nt
Organism: Rhododendron vialii
Lineage: Eukaryota; Viridiplantae; Streptophyta; Magnoliopsida; Ericales; Ericaceae
Exons: 3
Source: RefSeq, a predicted model, not a curated record
GUGGUUACGGCAACAUUUUCAAGGGCAUUUGGCGAAAGGGUAUACGAACAAAAAUGUUCAGCAACAAGCCCGAGGUUAUAAUCUCCAGUUGGUAGGUGGAGUGUUGAUGCCUGACUACUCAGGGUCCUAAAUCCAUCUAGCUUACUUAACCCUCAUUGAAGACUUGACGAUUGUGCAGAGUUGGGGCAGCACUUGCCUCUCAAAUCUUUACCACUAUCUAUGCCACGGUUGUCAGAUUGGUAAGGAAAAUAUGGGUGGGGCAUUCAUUCUCCUACAGCUAUGGGCUUGGGAGCAGUUUCCUUUUGUUGCUCCUGGACGUUUGAGUACUCGUCAGCAUCCACCAGGUUCUCCUCUUGGUGCACGGUGGGAUGAUCGUUUUCGCUCUCCGAAUUUGGCAACCCAUGUUAUUGAAUAUUAUAGAAAUUAUUUUGACAUGCAAAGGCCGGAUGAGGUGAUUUGAAGACCGUACAGCGAGGAGUUGAUUGCUAGUCUUCCUCCAAAUUGUCGUGCUGGAAGGGCAAUUUGGAUGGCGAAGGUCCCAUUGUUGAAUUUUUCAAUGGUGCAAAUGUACAUGCCAGAUAGAGUGAUGCGACAAUUUAAACAUCGACAGAC